CUGCCUGCCUCGGCCUCCCAAAGUGCUGGGAUUACAGGCAUGAGCCACCGCUCCCGGCCAAUUCUGCCACUUUCUAACUUGAAUAAGCCUCAGGAUGUCCUGGUUGCUACACAGCUAUCACUUCCUCCAUCUCUAACCAAUAUUUGGUUUCUUUUUUGUCACUUGGUAAUAAGGUACCUAGCUCUCCCUUCUGAAAUGUACCUUUGGUGUUCUGUAGCCAUCUGUAUUGAAAGCAUAGUCACACAAGGUAAUGUUUCUUCUUUGUCAUUCUGUAGUCAGACUUUCACAGAAUCCUGAGUUCUUCUGAGAAUCCUAAAGAAGAUAAGUUCUUUAAGAAAAGUUCAAGAUCAUUUCACUUCCCUCUUGUUCUGGUAUGCUAGGUUAAUCCUUUUCCCAGGAUGUAAGAGUUUAAAUUAAUCUUACACCUUCUUUUGAGGGAGUAUGUUUUCCUAAGAAGAGUUGAGGAGUUUCCCUGUAGCUUUAUUACUUGUUGUUAUUUCCUAAUUGUCCCAGUUUCCCAAUUCAUGUAAGAAUAAUAAAUAAAAAUGCAAAUAUAAAUAAAUGUGCAAAGUAUCUGCAUAAGAAAGAAAUAAUAUAACUUAUUUUCUUUUUUCCUUAGCACUGACUCUGAUGAUUACUAUACGAAAAUUGGAAAUGUGACCAGUAUGUUGGUUCUUUUCAUGCCUGGAACAAGGCUUUGUACUGUUGGAAGAAUACAGGUUUCAGAUAAGGAAAGAUCUACACAAGCACUUAGUUUUGAAACUUUUCUGCUCCCAUGUGUCUUGACUCCUUACUCACAACCAAGAGAAGGGGAGUUUACAUCUCGUCUGAUGCAUUUGUAAAGGAGAAAGUAUAUGUUUCCAGGUUUCAAAGGUUGUGUUGCUGUAGUUGGGAAGGGAAUAGAAUGAGUUACAAGAGUGGUGGCAAAUAUCCUCAAGGAUGCUUUGGAGGUAACAGGUUACAACCACAUUUGAAAAAAUUUCAUGGUUUGGUGAGGAUUUCAAAUUAGAAUUAGAGAAAUUUUGCAAAAUGUCAUAGUACUUAGAGUAAAAUAGGACACCUUUCUAAAGUCAGUCAUACUUUGAUACUUUUAGUUGUCUAAAAAGUGGUUGGUUUCUCAUUUUAAACAGUAUUGAGUUUUCUUGAGUUAAUUGACCAUGAUAAAUGGGUUUUAUUACAUAAAAUUUCAAAUUAUUUAAACUAUCUAUAUUUACAUACAUAUUUUCUCCAUUUAAUACAAGAAGCACACUCCCAGGUGAGGCAUAAUGUACGAAAGUCCUGAGUCAUACAGCCUGUUAUUAAAAGCUCACCAGAAUGCAGAUAUUAGUGUUGCUAUUAUAUUUUAUUAUUGUUAUUAUUUAUCAUAAUAUAUGUUUCAGGUUAGUUGUUCUAUCAUAGAAAAACUAUUAGUGGGAACCUAGUUAGCCAUAUCUUCAGCCCCAUCUACAAUACUGAUUUUCACAUAAAAGUUAUUUGCUACAAAUUUGGUACAUAGGUUUAAAAUAAGGAAAGAUCUAUAUAAGCACUUAGUUUUGAAAUUUUUCUGCUCUGUGUCUUGACCUUUUACUCACAAACAAGAGAAAGGGUGUUUAUAUCUCCUCUGAUGCAGUUUGUAAAUGAGAAAGUGUAUGUUUCUGUGUUUCAAAUUUUGUGUUGCUGUCUUUAUGGUUUGAAUUACUAAACAUGAUUUAUGACUUAAUAAAGCUGCUUUUGAAAAAUAUACUUAGAAAAAUAGUGUAGCUGUUUCAAAGUAAAAACAAAUUUAAAAAUAAAACUUACUACUAUUGAUGAUAGAGCUUAUGAGUCAUUUAAAAAAACUGUUUCCCCUGCAAAGCAGAUAAACAGUUUUGCACAUGUAUUAUAAACAGACAUAAUUGACAAGUAUAGAAGUGAUCGUAUUUAAUGUAUUUAGUUCUCUUUUUUAUCCCCAGGGGAACUUAGAGAACUAGGUAGAUAUCAGAUGUUGCUGUACUCAUUGCUACAGGUUGAUUAAGCUGAGAUUAAACAGGUCAAUAAAAGUUUUCCAGCAAUUUUUCUAGAUUACUUGUUUAGUCUGAAAAAGAAUUAUAAUACAAGUUUUUAAACCAAAUUAUCGAACUACUAGUUUUGUGCUUUUGUCUUGUAAAUGCGAUUUUUUUGCUCUGGGUUCUUGUCCUAACGUUCAGUAUCAAAACAUUUCCUACUGACCAUUUUGUUUUUGUCAACUUAUUCUCAUAUUAGUGUCCAAAUUCCAACUAAUGCCUUUAUUACUCACUGGGAAAAUUUUAACAUGAAAAAACCCUGACUAAUGUAAAAUUAUACCCCCCAAAUAAACCAAUAAAAAGGGUUUACUUAUUACCUGAAUUUUGACAGAAAUAGUAGAAAGUAUCUAGUCCUUUCCUCUUAUUUAUCAGAGGAACCUGAAGCAGAGAAAUUGAAUAGCUCUCUCAAAGUGACAUAGUUGGUUAGUGACAAAGCUAAAACAAAUAAUAGCUACCAUUAGAUUUAAAUCUUGUGCUUAUUCACACAUCAGUCAUCUUCAGGCAAUCUGCAUAGGGUUGGAAUGAUAGUUUAAGUUCAGAAAGGUCCCAGGACUGGCAAGUCUUGAUGCAGAAUCCAAACCUAGGUCUGUUAGUCUCUGAAGCCAAUACUUGUUACAUUGUACCUCUCAGUAUUAUAAUAUAAAAUGCCUGUUGCAAGUCUAACUGUAAUAUUAAGAAUAAAUAAUUUCUCUUAUUUGCCAGAAUUUAGAUUUUAGCUUUAGCACAUAUACAAUAAAAAGAGUCUAAUUUUUAAAAAGUCCAAUUAAAAAGACUAUUUCUUUGGGUAGCAUUUCUGUAUUGAGCUGUAAAUAAUAAAAUAGAACCUAAGGGAUUGAAAAAAGAAAACUUCAGUGUAAUAUAAAUAAACUUUUAAUCAUUACAACCAAUUAAAUUGAGACAAUUACUUAACUGAAAAGUGAUUAAGGAAAAAGGAAUAGCACAUAAUCAAAGCAGGGUCUUUGACUUGACACGGUCACAAGACAAGGCACAACAAAGUCGAAUUAGGCUCCAUGGAAAGCUAAUGGACUUAAAGGCAUUUCUAAACUGUUUUCAGGUGAAGAGUUUGAGACUUGGGUAGCAGAAAGACAGGCUCUUCACCAUAACCCAGUGACCCUUGAAAUGACAUGCUGCGGCAAAUCCUGAGGAGAGGAGCCCCGUGAACUCUCCUCGCCUUACACCAAGAAAGUGGCAACAAAGAGGAUACUUAUUUGCAGAUUAGCAGAUAAAAAUGGCAACACGAGGCACAUGCUGUCUUCGAUAUCCGUGAGUAUAAUAAAGUGCUGUUUUGUUUUUGGUGGGAGAAGGGGAGAGGUAAAGAGACAAUAGUUUUCCUUUACUGCUGGAGACAUCAAGAGUUAUAAACCUGCCCACAUGU
Molecule: non-coding RNA, 3396 nt
Organism: Macaca mulatta (Rhesus monkey)
Lineage: Eukaryota; Metazoa; Chordata; Mammalia; Primates; Cercopithecidae
Source: RefSeq, a predicted model, not a curated record